AGCCGGAUAAACCAACAAAAGAAAAAUUCAUCUCGAAAAGAACUCGAUCUAUGUUCUGGUUCACUAAAAAAGAGAAGAAACAGAACUCUGUUCUCUCUGGUCUCUACUUUGGUCUGAAUCUCCUCCACACUGUGUGAAGGGCUCUCUCUAUCGCUUUCUUCGUUCUCACCAUCGUCCGUCUCUGUUCUCUCCAUCACCUUCAUUGUCUCUCUCACCGUGGUCAGCAUAAGAAAACUAUAGACAGGUACGAGAAGGCAUCUUCCGAUAACUCAGGUGCAACCACUAUCACAGAAAUCAAUGCUCAAAAUAUAGAAAACGCAAACUCUCUGGAUUCUCUCCCCUCUUGCUCUAUUUCCUAUUUGAUUCCUUCAUUGGUUGAUAAAGUACUGCAGAUCUGCAUUAUCCUCUGUCGGCGAAAGUCUUAAAAAGCUUCAGGACACGAUAGCACCCAACUUUAUAUCAAUGAUAUAUGCAAGUUGCUAAACUGGGAGGGUACAAGUGAAGUAGUGGCUAGAGGACACAUUUCUGAUAUUCACCCAGAAUCAAAAGUGCAUGGCUACAAACUUGGACCUGAUUAUUAUAAAAUUGCUAUUGAGGAAGUUGUCAUGCCUGAUGUUGUAUUCUAUCGAAGUCAGCCCGAAUUUGUGACUAUGGAAGAUGCACUUGGAAGUAUUGUUACUUGGCCGAUUAAGUAUGAUUAAGUAUAUUCUUUGUGACAAUUGACUUAGUAGCCUAUUCUUUGUGACAAUUGACAAAGUAUAGGCAACUAGCUCUUUUUUGGACGAGGCAUAAGCAGCUAGCUAGCUAUAUAUAUAUAGCUAUCUUGUAUUUUGAAUUCAAUAACAAUGUUUGAUAUAUUUGAUGACAGAUUUAUGUAAUAUUUU
This is a long non-coding RNA of Rosa chinensis, 884 nucleotides long. RefSeq lists it as uncharacterized. Lineage: Eukaryota; Viridiplantae; Streptophyta; Magnoliopsida; Rosales; Rosaceae. The transcript is spliced from 4 exons. The record is from RefSeq and is a predicted model, not a curated record.